UGAACGCUGGCGGUAGGCCUACCACAUGCAAGUCGAACGGCAGCACAGUAAGAGCUUGCUCUUACGGGUGGCGAGUGGCGGACGGGUGAGGAAUACAUCGGAAUCUACUUUUUCGUGGGGGAUAACGUAGGGAAACUUACGCUAAUACCGCAUACGACCUACGGGUGAAAGCAGGGGAUCUUCGGACCUUGCGCGAUUGAAUGAGCCGAUGUCGGAUUAGCUAGUUGGCGGGGUAAAGGCCCACCAAGGCGACGAUCCGUAGCUGGUCUGAGAGGAUGAUCAGCCACACUGGAACUGAGACACGGUCCAGACUCCUACGGGAGGCAGCAGUGGGGAAUAUUAGACAAUGGGCGCAAGCCUGAUCCAGCCAUACCGCGUGGGUGAAGAAGGCCUUCGGGUUGUAAAGCCCUUUUGUUGGGAAAGAAAAGCAGCAGGUUAAUACCCCGCUGUUCUGACGGUACCCAAAGAAUAAGCACCGGCUAACUUCGUG
This 490-nucleotide ribosomal RNA is filed under the name uncultured bacterium. Its description in RNAcentral is "partial 16S ribosomal RNA". It matches the Rfam family "Bacterial small subunit ribosomal RNA", at positions 30 to 507 of the family's 1533-position model. The record is from RNAcentral.